GAUGAACGCUGGCGGGAGGCCUAAUACAUGCAAGUCGAGUGCAAGUUAUGUUGCACGGCGAACGGCUGAGUAACACGUUGGUACCUACCCCGAACUCAGGGAUAACCACUGGAAACGGUGGAUAAUACCGGAUAGCUGGAAACAGUAAAGAUUUAUCGGUUCGGGAGGGGCCUGCGGAGUAUCAGUUUGUUGGUGAGGUAACGGCUCACCAAGACUAUGACGCUUACCAGGUGUGAGAGCAUGACCUGGCAGAGUGGGACUGAGACACGGCCCACACUUCUACGGAAGGCAGCAGUAAGGAAUCUUCCACAAUGGGCGAAAGCCUGAUGGAGCCAUCCCGCGUGUUUGAUGACACCCUUCGGGGCGUAAAGAACUUUUCUGAAGGAAGAAAUUUUGACGGUACUUCAGGAAUAAGAGACGGCUAACUCCG
RNAcentral lists this ribosomal RNA (430 nucleotides) under uncultured bacterium. RNAcentral's name for it is "bacterial SSU rRNA". It matches the Rfam family "Bacterial small subunit ribosomal RNA", at positions 28 to 505 of the family's 1533-position model. The record is from RNAcentral.